This 497-nucleotide ribosomal RNA is filed under the name uncultured bacterium. Its description in RNAcentral is "bacterial SSU rRNA". It matches the Rfam family "Bacterial small subunit ribosomal RNA", at positions 28 to 536 of the family's 1533-position model. The record is from RNAcentral.
GAUGAACGCUAGCGGCAGGCUUAAUACAUGCAAGUCAAGGGGUCAGCAAUGGCACCGGCGGACGGGUGAGUAACGCGUACACAACGUACCUUUAACUGGGGGAUAGCAUUUGGAAACGAGUGGUAAUACCGCAUGUGGUUGCAGGGAGGCAUCUUUUUGCAACUAAAACUCAGGUGGUUAAAGAUCGGUGUGCGUCCGAUUAGCUUGUUGGUGAGGUAAUGGCUCACCAAGGCGACGAUCGGUAGGGGGCGUGAGAGCGUGAACCCCCACACGGGUACUGAGACACGGACCCGACUCCUACGGGAGGCAGCAGUAAGGAAUAUUGGUCAAUGGAGGCAACUCUGAACCAGCCAUGCCGCGUGGAGGAAGAAGGCGCUAAUGCGUUGUAAAACUUCUUUUGGGUGGAAGAAAAUGGUCAAUUUAUUGACAACUGACGGUACCAUCAGAAUAAGCACCGGCUAACUCCGUGCCAGCAGCCGCGGUAAAAAGUGUGUGUA